GUCCGAAAUAGCCCGGACAUUCUUCCGUCUUCCUCAAACCUGUUCAGCUUACAUUUGUGUUGAUGAAUGCCACCAGCAGCCGACUAUGCGUGGGAGCCAACCUUGAGGACACCUGAUCUCUCACUUCUUAUGUCAGAUGGUUUGAAUUCAUAAUUCUAAAUAUCCAUCCUCUCUUGUUUAUUAGCAUUGUUGUUCUGGUCCAGGCCUUCAUCAAUAAAGCAAUUGCAGCAGCUUACUAGUAGGCCACUUUGCCUCAUUUGAGACAGAAUUUUUCCAUUAUACAUACCUGAACACAUAACUCUUGCCUAC
This 309-nucleotide long non-coding RNA is filed under the name Homo sapiens (human). RNAcentral describes it as "HSALNT0012973". Lineage: Eukaryota; Metazoa; Chordata; Mammalia; Primates; Hominidae. The record is from RNAcentral.